Molecule: transfer RNA, 74 nt
Filed under: Bacteroidia bacterium
Lineage: Bacteria; Pseudomonadati; Bacteroidota; Bacteroidia
Description: tRNA-Met
Rfam family: tRNA
About the family: Transfer RNA (tRNA) molecules are approximately 80 nucleotides in length. Their secondary structure includes four short double-helical elements and three loops (D, anti-codon, and T loops).
Source: RNAcentral
CGCGGGGUGGCGCAGAUGGUAGCGCGUCGGAUUCAUAAUCCGAGGGUCGCAGGUUCGAGUCCUGCCCCCGCAAC